GGUACAUAUACUUACAAAAGAAACGAUACAACAACCAUAUAAUAAACAAAAAACAACAACAAUACGAAAACAUGGGUCGCAAAUUCGCAACAUUCUAC
Molecule: non-coding RNA, 98 nt
Filed under: Skeletonema menzelii
Lineage: Eukaryota; Bacillariophyta; Thalassiosirophyceae; Thalassiosirales; Thalassiosiraceae
Source: RNAcentral